CGGGAAAAUCUCUCUUUAUUUUUCGUGUACGAGUGCUGUGAGGCAGGUUCUUGUCUGUCCUCGAUGUCUGCGUGAACAGGUAAGGGAGCACCCGCCCGCACGCCCACCGAGGAAAGGCGCAACACCGUGGUGGCAGCAGCAACGGUGGCGGUGGUGGUGGUGGUGGUGGUGGCAGCGGGGAAUAGACGCUCGUGGCAGAAAAACACCGCCAGUAUGACUCGGGCAGUGUGAGAGGAAGGGUGCCACGGGUUCUCCCUGGGCGCGACACCCACGCCACGCCACACCACGCCGCGCAGCCCUCAGCCCUCCUCUCCCGAGCGCCGACAUCGCCUCGCAGGCGUUCCAGUGACAACACCGCCACCAGCAGCAAAAGUUCCCACGCGUCUGUGUCGUGUUCUCGUGUUCGUGACAGAGGGAGACAGACGGAGAGAGGAAGGAAAGAAACACGUGAAUCGAAGCACUGCAGAUAGCAUAGAGGAGCGGACGCACAAACAGACAGGGAAAGGAACACUCAAAGGAUAAAGGUGUUCGAGGAAUGGAAGAUGACGUGAAAUGUGAGUGGUUUGUUGAUGCUUCGCGUAGGAAAGUGAGGUGAAAGAGUUUGAUACGUGAACAGUAAAUGGUUGAACGCAUAAGAGGUUGGAAAAAGAAAGGAAAACAAUCUUACUUGCGGCCAUAAAGUGAACUAAUUCAAAUAAAAACCGUUGAUAAAAGGGGACAAAAAGAAUUAAUAACGUUUCUAUAAAUGAGGAUAAAAAAGAAAACGUUAUGUAAACAAUAAACGAUAAAAAUACUGCUAGACUUAGGAAAAGAAGAAGAAGAAAAAAAUCAGUAAUAUACAUCCAUAAAAAAACAUUGAAAAACAAGAAAGUCAAUUAGAGACACGAAAUAUUCCUGAAAAAGUUAACUUACCUACGGUCAUAAAAUACAAUAAAUCAAAUAGGGAACAGUGAAAAAAAUAAAAGAAAAAGAGCAGUUAAUUAGUGACGAGAGCUACUUGUACAGAGGAAAGGUCAGACAGUGGAAGGAAGCACCGCCACCACCACCACCACCACCACCACCACCACUACCACCAACACCACCACCACUACCAGCAAAAGACGAAGCAAAACUCGGCCACUAUUCUGCCUGACGAAGGAUGAGGUUCAGUUCAAGUGCGUGAAAGAAAAAAGUAAAAAAAAAUAUUGAAAAUCUCGUCGAAUUGAUAUAAACGUGAUUCUGGGUAUAGUUUUGGAACGAGUAACUGAAAGGAAAGAAAAAAAAAGAAGGAAGAGGAACAGAGAGAAAAGAAUAACAGUAAAAAGUGAUAAAAAGUAAGGAAAACAAACAACGGAAGGGAACUGGAAGAAAGAAAAAACAGUUAAAAGAGAAAGGAAUUAAUGAAAACAUUCCUAAAAAAGAACAGGAAAAAUGGAGGAACAGUAAACAAAUAAAAAUAAGGAAAACAAAUGAAAAAAUAAAACUGAGAUAAAGGAAGAGCAAUAAAAAGAAAGUAAAGGAAAGAAUCAAUAGAAACGAAAACAUAUAAGAAGGAUUAAGAUAAAUAAAGAGAGGAACUGAGAACGACAUCAGGAACAACAACAACAAUAACAACAACAAACAAGAGAACAAAGAACAUAAAGAAAAACAGCAAGAAAAGAGGGGGACAAACACAACGCUGCAAUAAACAACUUAAAUAAACAAGACUUGCAUUAAAGAGAAAAAGAAGAAAAAAAAAAGAAAUUACGAUGAAUAAAUGAAAAAAAGAAGUUAAAAAAAGAAAGUAACAAAGAGAGACAGACGGACAGACACACAAAACUUACCACCGGAAACGCAAACAUUUAGGGAACAUAUGAAUAAAAAUACUGGCAAAAAGAAUUAACACAUGUAUGAAUAAAGAAUUACGCUGAUAAGACUGUAAUGGAUGAGCGGAAGAAGAAUUAAAUGGAGUGAACACACGAAAAAAAAAGAAACAUUAAAGAGAGAUAGAGUGAGAUAGAUAGCCAGUAAAAAAAAAAAAGAGAGAGAGGGAAAAAGGGUUAACACAGUGCACUGAUACGAAAGACGAAUUGAAAGGGAAAAAAUACAAUAACACACGAAAGAAAGAGAGUAAUAGAGACACAGAGAGACGGAUAGCGAUAGAAAAAGAGGGAGAAAAAAAGGACAACACAGUGGACUAAUACAAAAGACGAAAGAGGAAUUGAGAGAGAGAGAACAAAAAAAUACAUUAACACACCAGGGAAAGAGUAAUAAAGAUAUAGAGAGACGGAUAGCGAGAGAAAAAAAGAGAGAAUAAGAAAGAAAGAAAAAAGACAAUAAUGGACUAAUAUAAAAUACGAAAAGGAACUAAGAGAAAACAAAAAAAAUACAUUAAGCACCAAAGCAAGAGUAAUAGACAGAGAGCAAAAAAAAAAAAAAAGAAAAAAAGAAAAGAAAGAAAAACACUAAUUUAAAUGAAACAAUACAAACGAGAAAGGAGUGAUUGUAAAAUGUGACUGCCAGGUGUUUCACUUCCUGUACUAAUUAAACGCACCUGUGUACCUGACAGCGGCGGGCCAGGUGUACUGUGCCCUGUGGUGUACCUGGGUGUGUCUGGAGCCCUCCCUCCCUUCCCCCUCGCUUCCCCCCACCGCCACCAUAGGGCUGCUUGGUCUAACGGUGUUCUCUCGAUGGACACCAAAAAAACCCUCACUCUCCCUCUCCCUCUCCCGCCCCCCUCCCUCCUCCUCCUCCUCGUCCUCCUCCUCUUCCUCUUCAAGCACAUCCUCCUCCAAAUCCCUCUUCCCUCCAAACAAAGUCCUCCAGCGGUCCAGCUCCUCCACUUCCUUCUCCAACACAUCCUCCUCCUCUUCCUCCUCUUCCACUCUCCUUCAUCCGCUAGAAAUCCACUUCCUGGCUGAUCCAUAUGGCCCUCCUCCAUCCACAUCACCCACGCCACCCACGCCCACCGCAGCAUCCCCUCAGGAAUCUACGCCUGGGGAGCAUCCGCCAUCCACAGCCACCCACACGCCCACAGAGGGAUCGACACGCCCUUCUCUCUUAUGGAAACGUGAAUCUCCUCUCGCUACCUCUCUUCCUCCCACGCCCACGACCCCCGCGCCCCCCAGCAGCCUCCCCAAGAUCCAGGUGUGCGGGCGCGGGGGUGUGGUGGGCGCUGAAUGCUGGAGUGCUGCUGCUGUAUCGGGACCUGCACGCCCGCGGGGUCUGUACCAGCGUGCGGGCGGAGGUGGUGCCGCUGUUUAAAGUACCGGAGCCCCUGCAGCGUGCCAUGGUGCUGGACGGCGAGGAAGUGCCGGAAACAGACGCCCUUCUUCCUGGUAAGAGCCGUGUGUGUGUGUGUGUGUGUGUGUGUGUGUUGAAACAGUGGAGGCAUCACACGCGGGAUAAACACUGUGCUGCUUUUAAUCCCCAAACAACUGGCAGUGUGUUGCUGGACUACUGAGGAUUAAGAGUGUGCCAGGAUUACUUUUGGAGAACAUGUGUGCGUCAUGGCCUGCCUGCGUCCCUCUCUGCUUCCCUGCCCACCCGCCCGCCAGCCUGCUUCAAAGGGGAUCCGGGCCAGCAGGGGAUAGAGGCAAAGAUCAAUAAAUAAGAGAAACAAGUGACGAGCGCAGGAUUGGUUGCCUAGUUGUUUGUUUGGUGAAUGAGUCGAUCAGCUUAUUGGUUGGUAAGUUACCCAGCAGACCGGUCAUUUAGCUCGCCAGCCAGCCAAUUAGACAUUCAGUUACCUAGUCAGAGAAGCAGUCAAUUAACCGGUCAGUAAGCCUGCAAAUAAACCAAUCAGUCAUCCAGAUAGCCAAUCAGAGCCAGCUAUACAGUUGUUAAUGAGUCAGACAUUCACUAAACCAGCCACCCAUUCACCUAACUAAUCAAUCAAUUAACCAGCCAGUCAGUCAGGCAGUAAACAAGCAAACCAGUCGCUCAGCCACCUAACAACUUAGUCACUCAUCCUAACACAAAAAUACUCAGCCAGCGGGCCAGUAAAUCAGCAAUAUUCACCCACCUACUCCCCGAGUCAAUCACACACGCACCCACUCACCCAAACACACAUCUACAUAACCUCCAAACACACACACACACACGCACACACACCUAGUUAGUUAGUCAAGCACGAAAGCACUCACUUAUCUGGACACCUUCCACCACCUCUACCACACACACACACACACACACGCACACACACGGUUAGUGAAAGCACGACCCAUUACUUGCACAAAGAGGGAAGCAUGCAAAAAUAUGAGCGCCAGAUGUCCCUUCGCUAUGGAAACGAGCUGCCUGACGCCUCCUCCUCCUCCUCCUCCUCCUCACCCUCCUUGCCGCCUCUCAUGACUCGAUCCUCAGUGACCCAUGGACGUGAGCACCUGCCUGGAUUACUCCCUAUGUGUUGUUCUUAGUGCCCGGGAGGAGGCGAGAAGGAUUUCAUUG
Molecule: long non-coding RNA, 4404 nt
Organism: Scylla paramamosain (green mud crab)
Lineage: Eukaryota; Metazoa; Arthropoda; Malacostraca; Decapoda; Portunidae
Exons: 3
Source: RefSeq, a predicted model, not a curated record